GUCACAUGACAGCACACACGUACACCUACACGUGGAAUAGUGGACAUGUACUUGCUUUAGUAACCCACCCAACUAAAACACCCCUAACAAGACAAUGAUAUUCUUUGUCCAAAUGACGUAUCAAUAACAGAAGUCACUAAUGUCAACCAACGUUUAUAAACAUCCCUCGACCAACUAGAUUCUCUAAUACUUUGCGAUGUGUCCACCCUAAUUACAAUCUACUUAUUCUCACACCAGAAUCGUGACUUGUUCAUGCGACGAUACCUAACUCCACAACUUCAUAUUACUAUAGCAUCAAGUCUCCAAUACUAGAAGUAUAAUACCAACAUACUUAUGUACAAUAUAUUUUGGUUGAUUGGUGUACACCUUUGACCAUGUACAAUGUUUGUACUUUGUAAAUGACCCAAAAGGCUUUUCUUUCUUUUUCCUUUAGUAGAUUUGUAAUGUUGUUCAAAACCCUUCCACAGGACCACAACUACGCCACGUUUAAUAAAAUACAUUUAUGAAAGACAAAGUCAUACUAGUAAAGAUGGGGCCCACAAAAUGAUAAUUUUUAAGAGUUAAAUGCCAUUUUAGUCCUUGUGGUUUGAUUAUGUUGUCAGUUUAGUCCAAAGGUUUGAAACGUUGUCAUUUUAGUUCAAAUAGUUUCAAACAUUGCCAUUUUAGUCUACUGGAUUAACUCCAUUCAUUUUUCUGUU
This 698-nucleotide long non-coding RNA is filed under the name Helianthus annuus (common sunflower). The record is from RNAcentral. Lineage: Eukaryota; Viridiplantae; Streptophyta; Magnoliopsida; Asterales; Asteraceae.